UGGGUAUUGGUGGUGGGGUAGUAGGUGUAGGGGUUGUGGGUGGUGUUGGGUGGCGAUGGUGGUGGUGAUGGUGAAGACCAUUGUUGUUGUUGUUGUUGUUGUUGUUGUUGUUAUGGUGGUGGUGGUUAGAGUUGCUGCUAUUGCUACAGCUAGAACUGUUGGAGCUAUGAGUAUCUGGUGAUGAAAUAAGACAUGGGUUGUGAAAUUCUUGAGGUUUUGGUAAGGUUUCCAUUGAUGGGUCUGUAUCUCUAGAGAGAGAGAGCAAAUUAGCUGAAUUGAGUUGAACUUAAUAAGAGAAGCUUGAGAACAAGGGUAGUUAGCAAAGUAAGAGUUUAGUUUGGUAAGAAAUGUUUUCUUCUUCUUCCCGUUCAUCUUCACUUGUUCAACUAAUUAUUUGACUUACAAAGAAAUAGUAAAUAUUUAAAUUAAAAAAAAAUUAUCUUUUAACUUAAUAUCAAAUUAAAUCUAUAAUUUUUAAUUUAAAAUAUAUGUAAUUAAAUAUUUAAAUUUACAUAAAAUUAAAUAAAUAAAUAAAUAAAUACAUAUAUCUUAUAUGGUUUUGUACAUGAUCAAUUUUUACUGACAUCCUUCAUGUGAUAUGUUACUAUAUAAUAGCAAAAGUAAAAUGUGUAAAAAAUAAUAAAUUAUUCAUUAUUUUAAAUUAAAUAAAUAUUAUUAGAUAUCUAUUUUUAAUAUAAUGAACCAAAAAUGUUGAAUAAAUAAAAUAAUAAAUAAUAAAGUAUUUAAUAGAUAGGAUUAAAUAAGCACAAAAUAUUAAAUUAUUUAUAAAUUUUGCAAGUUGAACAAAUAUCAUUCAACAUUCAUUUUUUAUAGUGCGAAAAUUAUUGUCACCUCCAAAUAUUAAUUUAAAAAUUAAACUCUCUCCUAAAUUUUCAACAAUAAUCAACUUUCUUUGAUUUUAUAUAAUAGCUAUUUUAUUCGUGUUAUAUUAAAUAUAUUUAUGUAAUACCUCUUUAUAUUAUAUACAAUUUAUUAUUUUAACCUACCUAUUCAUAACUUUUAUUUAGGUUCAUUAACAUUAUAAGUAGAAUAAUACUUUUAUGGAUUUAUCACUAAAUUUAAUGUUAUUUUAAUGACUAUUAUUUCAAUAUUAUAUGCAGAUACGCUACAUAAACAUGCCCUUUACCUUGACGUCAGAUUACAUUUAUGAUCUUCGACUUUGGGUGUGUAAAAAUAAGCUCUUAAACUAGUAUAAAGUUGAACAAGUAGACACAUAUGUCCCAUGCAGCAUUCUACGUGGUCAAUUCUUGUCCUACGUGUAUUAUGCCACAUAGGACGUGUGUGCCUAUUUACUCAACUUUAUAAAAGUUUAAGUGCUUACUUGUGCACACCCAAAGUUCAAUGGCGGAUGUAGAGUAGAAGGUGUCCUACACCCGCUACCGUAAGGCUUAAAAUUACAUAGAAAAAUCAUCAAAAGUUAUAAAUAUUAAUAGGUGGGAACUCAUAACUAAACCAAGGGAUAGCUUAGUGGUAGGAAAGGCCCUUGGGAACCCACAAGUUUGAAAUUCUGGAUCCGCCUCUGUCAAAGUUAGAGGUCAUAGAUAUGAUUUGAGGUUAAGUUAAAGGACAUGUUUAUGUAUUAUUUAAGGGUGUGCAUCGAUCGAUUUGGUUCGAUUUUAUAUAUUAUCGGUUUGAUUUAUCGAUUUUCAGUUUUUAAAUAUGUUAAACCAAUAACCAAAUCGAUAAGAUAUUUUUUUUCGAUUUUCGAUUUAUCGAUUUUUAGUCCUUAUUGGUUCGAUUUUCGGCUAAACCGAUAAGAAAUACUCAUAAAAUAGAAAAAGUAGUAACUAGCAUGAAAAAAAUUUGAAUCUUAGUUGUAACAAAAAAAUCCUACAUGAUGUGUUUUAAUUCACAAGAAUCUUCAAGUUUGAACUAAAUGUUGUUAGGAGAAUUUAAGAGUUUGUAUAAUUGAAAUAAUAGGUUUGUUAAUUUAUAGAAAUUAAGAUUACGAAAAUCGAACCGAACCAAUAACCCAAUAAUUUCUUUUUAUAAAAUUAUUAAAAAUUCAUUAACCCAAUAACUCAAUAACAAUAAAUCAAUAACAUUUUUAUCAGUUUGGUUUAUCGGUCGACUCGUUUUUUGCACACCCUAUGUAUUAUGUCUUAUAUGUAUUAAGUGUGAAUAUAUAUGUACAUACAAGUGCAUUAUUUUUUGUCUUUUUUCACUCUCUUACUCCAAGCAUUUUAUAUUAUUUGGCCCUUCUUGAAAAGAAACAUUUCUUUUAAGAAAAAAAUAAUUAGAGCGUAUUUUAUUAAAUUAAUCUUGUUAAUAAAUUUUGAAACUUUAAAUUUGACACUGACUACUCUAUGCAGUUACUUAAAAUAUAUAUAUAAGAAAACAACAUUAAAAAGUUCUUUUGAUUUCAUAAAUUGAACAAGUAAUUAAACAUAAAUCUUUUAGUAUGAGGAUCAAAUAAUAUGAAACUGAAGGAGUAUUAUCCAUUGUCCAUAUAAAUAAAUAAAUUUUAAUUAUUAUUAAUGGAGUAUUACAUAAAUUACAAUUUAAAAUCAAAAUUCAAUAAAUACUAUCUAAAAAUUUGACCUUAGGUUAUUUUUUCUUUUAUCCUGCAUCGAAGUAUAUUUGUAUAGUUAUUACUUGUAUAAAUAAAUAUUGGAGUAUUAAUUAUUAUCAAUAAAAAUAAUUUUCUCAUUAUGUUAAUUAUUUUACUAUAGAAUAUUAUUAAUUUAUAUAUUUAAUUAGUAUUUCUCAUUUUUUUGUUCAAAAAAAUAUUUAUAUUUUUAUGAAAAAAUUAGUACAUGAUUUACUUUUAAAAAAAUGAAAAUGUCAUGAUCUUUUAAGAAAGAAAAAAAAGAAAAAGUUGAUAAUGAACGAAUAUAAUAAGAAUCGUUUGAUGUGACUAUAAGGUAUAAUAAUAUCGGGAUAAAUUGUGAUUACUGUAACGACAGGAUGCCGGCGAUUUCUUUAGUGGGGGAGGCAGUGGCUGAGUUGGGUGGUGGUACGCGGCGGUGGUGGAAUGUGAGAGUGAAAGUCCAACUGGUAACAGCCUAUUGGAACUUAGACCAAAGGAAAAAAAUAAAAUAUUACUCCACUAUGUGAGAAAUUAAAGUUUCAAUGUUUGCCAUUGACUUAAAGGGACCUACUUGAAAUUGAAAGCUGACGAUAUAUUAAUAUGUGAGGUGGGUCCCUAUUCUUUGUUUUUAUAUUACAAUUUUUUGUUUCUAUAUGUUCUUUGGCUUUGUGGAAAGUGGUGCACUAAUCAAGGUUUAGAAUAAAACCUGAUACUAAUUUUAAAAUUAACUUUUGAUUCUUUCUUUGAGUGAUCCAAGUUCUAUGUAAAUAUACUAGUCCAAUUUUGUCUUGUGUCUAGGGAUCUUUCUCCUCAAAUGCCAACUCUCAAACAUGAGUUUUUCAAAUGAAAGCUAGCCUCAUUUGUCCAUAAAAAUAAUAAUUUUUUAAUUUAUAUUUGACCAUUAAUAUAUAUUAACGUUGUUUUUAAAAUUUUGUGAAAGAAAUAAAAAUAAAAAAAGUAAAAACAAAACUUAGUUUCAAAACAAUUUUCACAAAAAUUUAUAUGUAAUUCAAGAUGGAGGUGUUAUUUUUCUUUCAACCAAAUAGUAUCCAAAAUUUUCUUUCACUCAUUAAUGAUUAACAAUUGAAGACGAAGGUGGGGUAACUUGCUCUUUGUUUUUAUUGAUAAUUCUUCAUUUGAGUAAAACCUGAAAAUACCAAUUGCUUUUAUGGAAUAAGUCUCUUAUAGUAAACACAUAAAUAUGUCUUGUCCCCAAACUUACUUUCCGAAUGCUAGAAAGAAAAGUUUAGCAGCGAUUUCACCAUAAAAAUUAAAAAAUUUUGAAGUUGAAGUUGUAUUUGGUCUUUUUUUUUUUUUUUUUUUUUUUUUUAACUUUUAAAAAAAAAAAAUUUAAAUAUAAUUUUAUGCCCCAACUUUUACAAACUAUCAAAAUCACUCAACUAAAAUUUACCUACUAACGAGAAAAGAACACAAUUAGCAACUUUUAUAAAAAUAAUUACAUAUACAUGGCCAUAUUUAAUAAAUUUCAAUUAUGACAUAUAUAAUAUUUACAUUAAUAGUCGUUUUCUCAUAUUUAAAAAUUUUCAAUAUGAAUGUUAUAUUAACAGAUCAAUGUUUCCUAUUUUUUAGAUAACAAAUAUUAUCUUUCAAACAAAUUCAUUUUUUUAGAAAUUUAUUUAAUUUAUUUUCUUUAUUUUUCGUUCCUAAAAAAUAGAAAAUGAUGAGUUGUUAUUAAAUUUUAGGGUGCCGCUAAUUUAUUUCUUUAAUUUUCUUAUACAUGAAAGAUUUUACUGUGUGUGAAUAAAUUAUUUCUAUGUAAAACAUACUUUGCAUAUUUAUGGUAUAUUAUAUCAUAUACCAUAAAUAUAUAAACAUGCUUAGUAUGUUUCUUUAUACUUUGUAUAUUUAUAUAUGUGUGUAUAUGGUAUAUACAUGGUACAAAUUUCAUAUAUAACAUACUUUGUAUAUUAAUGUUAUAAAUAUGCGUAGUAUGUUUCUUAAUACUUUGUAUAUUUAUAUAAUGAUAUAAACUUUAUAUAUAACAUACUUUGUAUAUUUCUGCUAUAAAUAUAAUAUUUUAUUUAUUUAUGAGUGUAAAUAUAAUAUUUUGUGUGUAAAGAUACCAAGUAUUAUGGUAUACAAAGGUAACAGUUGCAGUUUAAGGUAUAAAUUUGUUAAAUUGGACAUUUUUUUUUUAUGAAAAAUAUGUAUCACCAAUUUAUUUUUGUAGCAUAUAUAUGGUAUAAAUUAUUUAUAUUUGAAUAGUAUAAUAAAGAUAAUCAAAUUAAAAAUGAGAAUAAUUUGUGAUAGUGGUAAACUAAUCUGCUACAACUUUAUUAAUUCCAUAAAUAUAGAAAACGAUUAUCCAUUAUUAAUUACACGACUAUAAUUCCUUAAACGUCCGUAUCAUAACAGAAAAAUUAUUAUUGUUAUUAUAUUAUAGUAAUUAGGAUCAUUAGCAGUAAAUAAUGUCUUAGAUAAGGGAGAAAAUUAAAUAAGAGAGAAAAAUAAUGAUGAGAGAGAAGAAGAGAUAUAUAUUAAUUAGGAUAACAUUAAGUUUGAAAUUAUAAUUAUCUUAUUCUUUAAAACUGUUAUAUACGUAAUAUUGAAAAAAUAAUGUUAUAAGGAGAAUUUUAUGUAAAAUUUUAAAAAUUGGGAUUAUAUGUAAUAAUAAUAAAAGUUGGAAUUGAAAAAUUUUGAAAACACCAAAAAUCUAUUUUCCCUUUUCAAUUUUUUUUUUGAAAUUAUUUUCUGAAUUUUCAUGACCAAACACCACAAAUUUCAACUCUAAAAAAUUUUUCCAAAAAAAAAAAGAAAAAAAAUUUCAUGGUGAAACGGUCCCCUUAAAUAUCCAGUUAUGUUAUUUCUCUUCUUUCGUUCAUCCAUAAGGCCGUAAUCAUUUUAAAUAUCCAGUGAAUCAUUGUUUUUAGUGUAGACAACUUGAUUUUAAUCAAAUUUGAUACUUUUUUUUCUCAAUAUUAUUUCACACUUUAGGAUAAGGGGUAAGUAUUUCUUUAUUAUUUUUAAUCAAAGAUUUCAGGCUCAAGUCAUAGUAUUAGCACAUCGUCUUUGCGGGGAAUAUUUUAUCCUCAAUGUAAUCUAUACAAAUUAAAUUUAAUCGAACUCAAAUUUCAUGUAGGGUGAAGGUGGAAAUAGAAAAGACAUAAUAUGUUUGGUCAUACUUCUAAAAUAAACUUAUUUUAAAAAGUUUUUUUCAAAAGAAUGUUUUUGGUGGGAAUCAAUUUUGUUUGACCAAUAAAUUUAUAAAGUAAUGAGCAACAAUUAGCGUUUGAUCAAACUUUUUAAAAGUAUUUUUCUGAAAAGUGUUUUUCAAAGAAGUGUUUUAAAGAGAAACAACCUUUUUUUUUAGUUUAUGAAAAGCUGUUUUUUCUGCUUCUCAGAAACACUUAUUUUUUUUUCAAAAGUUUGACCAAAAACCUCAUCUUUUUUAAAAGAAAAUAUUUUAAAUGAAAAAUAAACACUUUUUUAAGAAAAUUAAAAUUGAUCAAACAGGCCAAUAGUCAAUAUUCAAAUUAUUAAAAUGCUCAUAGUCAUGUGAGGGCACAUAUUUUAAUUUUUCCAGUAAACAAAUGUUGCAAAGACUUGUGAUUAACAAAUUGUAGUAAGAAAAUUGUAAUGCUUAAAUCACAUAUAAUGAAAUCCAAAAUCACUAGUACAGAUGCUACCAUUUACUGUAAUUAAAUUUCUUAAUGGGCUUUAAUAUAUGUAAACUUGACCGUUUAUUUACUUUUAUUAAUUGACAUUUACACUUAAUUAUUAGCCCACUAGCUUUCUAGACCAACUUUUUAAAACAUAUUUUAGCAAGUUGGCAUAAUUUUGUUGACUCAUUUGUAUCUUUUUCUAAGGUUUUGUCAUAAAUAACAAAUUGCCGAAUUUCCCAUAUGAAAAUAACGGCUCUUAUAUUCGGUACUAUCAUAUAUAUGGGAUUAUAAUUAGCUUACAUCACCAGCCAAUACUUUAGUAUUUCUAUUUGGAGACACAUUUUUCUAGUGUAAUAUAUGUGAAAAAUAAAAGUUUUCAUUUUGCUACCCAGCUCAUUAAAAAAGAAAAUUUUCACCUACUUUACGCUAUAUUAAAAUCUGCUUUAACUUAUUUCACUUUACUAAAAGGUCAAUAAAUCCAUGUUUUCGUCCUCUAGUUACGGUUCGGCUUGCUUUAAAUAAAUUAAAAUGAUGUAACUGUAUUAUUGCUGUUAAAGAGCUGAGCUAUGAAUAUAAUUUGAAUCCUAAAAGGUAAGUUCAACAAUAACAACAUACAUUAACAAUGUACUAACAUAAGGGUGUGUUUGGUUUAGAGGAAAAACGUUUUUGAAUUUUCUCAUACGCAUAUUUGUUGACUUAUAUAUUUUGAAAAAUGCUUUUCAUAUAGAUUUAUUUUCCUCAAUUUUAAGAAAAUUGACUUCCCUUCAUAAAUUAAAGAAAAUAUUUUUCAAAACUCUCUUACAACUUCACCACCCGAACCCAAAUCAAGUCCCUGGGCCUAACUCCGAAUUACAACCCGAGAUCAGAGACCCAACUCCCAAUCCCGACCCCAAUCUUGACCCUUGGCCUCAGCCCUGCGACACCCACCAUGAUCCGACUUUGAACUUCCAACAUGGUCUAGGGUUAGGGCAGGGUCUCAGGUUGGAGUCGAGGUCGACAGUCGGGUUCUAAAGAGGGAUCAGGAGUCAGUUCUCUGAUCAAGUUCGGGAGUUAGGACUCAAGUCGAGGUCAUUAGUCGGGGUCGAGGUCUAAGAUUUGGGGUGAGGUUCAAGAGUCGAGCCUCGGGUUGAGUCAAGAAUCGGUUCUAGAGUCAAAAUUGAAUCUAUGUGACUCAAUCUAUGUGACUCAGGUCAGAUCGAUAUAUAGUUGGGUCUCGGGUCAUGACAUAGUCUGGUCUUCGAUUGAGUGUCGAGAGUCGAGUUCAAGGAUCGGGUCCCAGGUUGAGGUUGCUAGUUGAGGCCCACGUCAGGUUUAACAACAGUGGUCAAGAUAAGAAUUCGAUUCACACAUCGAUGUUUGAUUGAAGUCUCAAAUCUCGGAUUAGAGUCGAGAUUGGGAGUUGAUCUCGAGUCAAGGUUGGAUCCUGGAUAUAGCUAGGCUCGUGGAAUAAGAUGAGGUGCUGAGUGGUAGAGGAGAGUCUAAUCUUGAGUCAGGGUCGGGAGUAGAGUUCGAGGGUGGGGUCAUGUCUCGGGUACGGGUGGGGAAUUGGGACCUAGGUCAGCAUAAAGAGUUAGGUCUCGAAUCAAGGUCGAAUCUCGGAUCCCGAGUUUUGCAUUGGGGUCACGUUCUGAAUUUGGUUCUCGGGGUCGUGAAUUGUGUUUCAAGUUGAGGUUAAGAGUCGAAUCUCGGAUCGAGGUACAAAUUUGGAAUUUGCAAUCUUCAAACAUUUGUGUAUGUAUUAUAAUUGUGAUAUUUUUUUAUUUCACACUCCAUAUGGAAUAUCAAUCCCAAAAUUAAACAUCAAAGUAACACAAAUUUAAAAUAAAAUUCAAUCUUAUACCGUUCAAAGUCAUACAUAUUUUAUAUCAGAUUCCUUACAUCUUUGAGUUUAGUCUAAUUUGUUACUAAAUAGUUAUUUUUCAGUCCAAUAUUGGUAAUUCCUUUUAUUAUUAAUACCAAAAUAACUUGUUCACCAACCAUUUGACUCUAUUUUUUCAACUCUACCUAGGGGCUUCCACCUUUUUGCUCAAUUGGUGAUUCAAACUCACAAUAUUAAAAUUAAAAAAAUAAAGGAUAUUUAUCAUCCGAGCAACCCUCUCUUGUCUUGUCGGUUGUCACCAAGUGACUCUAUAGCUUUCUCUGUUGAAGUUUGUUUUCUAUAAGAAAAACAUAGAGAGUCAUAGUCUAAAAUUUAGCAUAUGAUUCCCCUAAAUAAAUUUUGUUCACGAGAACAAUGAGGCGUUCAUCUUGUUCGAACAUUUCCAUUUUAAAUUUCAGCUAGCACUCUAGGGCAUAUAAUAUAAUUGGAACUAGAAUUUGUAAAGUGAGGUACAAGAUGCCCAAGACUACGUAUUUUAGUGAUUCACUCUAGGUCUCCAACUAGAGCCCCUCCCAAAAUAAAUUUAAGAAUAUGCAAAAUUUGGUAAUGAUAUGACAUACAAAACAGAAAGAAGAGAAAAUAAAACAAGCAUUGAAUUAAAGAAUAGUGAAUCAAAUUCUUCACUAACUUGAAAGACAAUAUGAAUUUCCACAAAGAACAAAAGUGACCACCAUUAAUAUCAUAGAGCUGCUUUUAGAAAAUGGACCUUUUCUUUUUGUGCUGAUCUCACUAGAAUUCACAGCAUCAUUUUUUUUUUUUGGUUGUGUGCGUACUUAUUCGUUAAUAAUGCUAUUUUUGCUAAGAAAUGAAGAAAAAAAAAGGUUUAUUUUAUAUUUUUCAUUUGGUUUGGGCAGUAUUGACCAAUCAAAAGCAAAUGAUGGGAUGGAGCAAUAUGUUGCCAAUUAGUAAUUAAGCAUCUUAAAAGAGAACAAGGAUAUACAAAAGGAAAUUAAAAUGUGUAAUAACCUUAUGCUAAGAUUUCUUUACUAUUAACAAAAAGAGUAAUAUUCUGUAGUUACCAAACUUCUAAAUAAGCUUAUUUUCAUUUCUUAAGUAUUAACAAAAAUUUUCUUUUGAUGCUUGUUAUAUACAAGAAUAUACUUAAUUCUCAACUAAUUAAAAUAUGUGAUCUUGGUAAUCAAACCGUGAAAUAGAGUAGUAAUUUUAAAAUUCUAUAAAUAUUCAUAAGCUAGAGAUAAAAAUACACAUUUCAAAUAGUUUAAAGGUAAAUAUACUUCGUCAUAUAUCAUGAUAUUGGGUUUAAGUUGAAUGUAUGAAUGGAAAAUGAAGGAAAUUAGUGGAGAAAAAGUGAGAUCAAACCUAAAAGGAAAGUGUACUCACAAUAAAGAAGGUUUACUAAUUCUCCCACAUUGGUGGGAGAAAGAAACUCUCAUGUGUUCUUAUUAAGAAACACCACUCCACUUAGACAGUGAGGCAAGAACCAAAAGGUGUCUCACAUUGUUAUUUCUUGCUAGACUCCAACUUUGGCUUGAUCAAAUGAUCGAUGAGAUUAAUUUUUUAGACAAAAUUUAUUUGAAACUUGUAAAAACAAGUGAAUUUUAUUAAUCCGAAAAAUUCAAAGAAAAAAACGAAAAAUACGCCAUGCAGAUGCAUGUAGAAAAGCAAAACAUUAAAAGGGGUGACUGUUCGGUCGAUGCGACUGUUCCAAAGGGAUACACUUUUCCGAUGAACCAUUGCUUUCUUCUGUAAGAGGCACUUGAUGACUAUAAAUACCUGCAUUUUCUCCACAGAUAGGAACAAAAAUUUUCAGAAUUGAAAAUACUUUUCUACUUCCAAAAACUCAUUGUGAUCAAGCUGCUGUUGAGUGUGUUCGACGAAUUCGAUAGUUUGAGGUACCGCUACUGACAAAUUGUGAACCAUUUUAUCCUGGGACAAAAAAAUUCACAACCUCGGGCACUUGAGGGGAAUUAAUUCCUUAAGGCCACUCCGUGAAGUCGGAGGACUUAGCUCUUAUUCUGUUUCAUCUUAUUUCUUUUACAUAACAUAACGUACUUCUUUGAUAGUUCUUGUUGAAGAUGUUAAAAACUUUAUUGUUGUUCUUGAAAAAGUCUUGAACUUGUGUUGAAAUUUAAUAUAUAAACAUACAGAUUGUGUAUCUGAAACAACACUGAAAGAUUGAAAUAAAAUUCAUCAAAAACUAAGGAACCAAAACGGUAAUUAACCCAAAAUAUCAUCGAAAUCUCUCUUGUUUUGGUCUAAGCUAGAAAUUUAAAUUAGCUUUCUUCAAUUAUUUUCUUGUUUCACACCAAACUAAACAAAAGGAAGAAAAUCACUUCUAUCAAUUCUUAUUUCUUUCCUUCUAUUUUCCUUUUCCUUUCUCUUCUAUAUCCGUAAUAUCCAAACGCAAGAGUCAAGAAGCUGCCUAAUAAUUGGAUUUUUUUUUUUUAAAUAUAAUCAAAAUGAACAUAAUAAAUUACCACAAAAGUUCAAAUAUGAGGAUAGUGGAAGUCAUACCAUAAAAUGAUAUAUUGUUGGUUUUAUCAAGGGAAUUACAAGUCUUAUGUUGAAUCAGUAAUAUACAAGAAAAAAUAAUUCAAAAAUGGAAGUAUCUUAGUAUGAAUACGUAGUUAAAUAAAGCAUAUUCGACUUAAUAUAUAUAACCACAAUGAAAAGCAUUGGAAUUGGUCCAAUAAUAUCAAGAGAAAACAAUGCAAGCUUCAAACAACGACCUAUAUUUAAAUCUCUUAUUGAUUUGAAAAUAGAAUUUCAACCUAGAUUUAGUCAAUUUCUAACAGUCCUAAACAACAUAGCCCUCAUACUAUUCUAGAUAGGAUUAAGACAGAAUUAAAAAAAUUUGUAAUUACUUUCACUAACAAAAAGUUAAGGUACUAGAUCUCCACCUUGUCAAGUCAAUUACUAUAUAAUAUUCACCCUAUUGUUGAAUGAAAAAGGCUAAUUAUUCCAAAAGAAAAACAUUUGGAAAUGGAAUAAUAUGUAAAGAAAAGUAUUAUACGUAGCAAAAGGAAUCGUUCUUUAAGUGGAAUUGAAAGUCGUUUGUUUUUUCUUUUAAAUGGUUAGCAAUUACCUCAAAAGUCGUUGAAAUUCGGUGCCCAAAAUUAAGAAUAAGAUUUUAAAAAAAAGCACAAUUUUUUUUUGUCUCUGUGUUAAAAAGAAAAUUAAAGCAGAUGAAGAUUCAGACUUUAGUGAAAAACUAUCCGCACUUGGUAUUCGUACAAAAUUAUAUGAAUUUAUUAUUUUUAAGUAAUUUAUGAGGUAACAUGUUUGCAUGUUAAUUACUAGUCAUGAUUAAAUCUUACAAAUUUAUCGAUGAACACAUAUAGAUAUAUUUAUUGAUUUGAUGUAAAUAUUAUAUGCAAAUAAUUUUUUACCUUUAAGAAUUAUAUUUGCACAAAUCUGAAGCUUCGUGCGCUAUUAUUUUAAGGACCCGUUUGAACAAAAAUAGUUUCGGCGCUUGCCAAUUUGGUAAGACUUAGUGAACAAUUGAUCAAUAAUAUAAAACAAUUACCCCCAAGUUAUCAAUCUGGCAAGAUUAGUGAAUAAUUUGAUAAAAUGGAAAAUGAAGAUGAUAUUUUCUUCAAGAUCUCUUAAAACACCUGUGACUUAUGGGCUUGAAAAGUUGCCCAUCACUUCAAUGUUUUCACCAAUCCAAGAGAGCUAAUGGGCCAAGAGAUAUGAUAAGAGAGCUACAACAUGCCUAAAAAUAUGUAAUUUUCGUGAGACACCCGAAAGGCAAAAAAAAAAAAAAAAUACUCUCUCCGUUUAAAAUAGAAUGAUCGAUUUUUUUUUUUAGUUCAUUUAAAAAAGAAUGUUCCUUUUUCUUUUUUGGUAAUACUUUAAUUUCAACUUUCCACAUGACAUGUUUAGGAACAUAAGAUUAAAGGGCAUUUUGGUACAUUUGACACAAGGCCACAAGAUUCAAAAAUUUUCUUUAUUUUCUUAAACUUUAUGUCAAGUCAAAGUAGGUUAUUUUUUUUUGAAACGGAAGGAGUAGUAUUUAACAACAUGCAAAAAAUAAAAUAAAAUGUUGAGCACCGUACUUAUUAGAUAUAAAAGUUCAGACUGUAUCUAGAAGCAGAAGGAGAGAUUAAGAAGAAAUGAAUCAAAUUCUUCACUACCUUUGAAAGCCCAAAAAAAAAUAAAAAAAUCCCACAAAGAAAAUAAAGUGACCACUAACUUCGUAGUGCGGCCGUUUCUUUUCUUAGACAAAAAUUAAAAAGGUGAAUUUUUUCUUUUGUGCUGAUAUCACUAAAAUCAAAUCUUAUGUUCAUAAUUUUGUAUACAUGUAUUUGAUUAAAAAUGAUUUGUGAGGAAGAGAUAAAUAAAAAAAAGUUGAUUGAUUAUAUGCAUUUUGUUUGGUUAAAGAUUUAGCAAUCAAGUUUAUUAACCAUAUCUCUAGUUUCAAAAUAGUUCGCCUUUAUUGACUUGAUAUUCUCUUAAGAUUAAAUUUAUCAGAAGCUUAUUUUAGCAAAUUAACCUUACUAAUUAUUUUUUGAAAAUGUAAAUUUAAAUAUAUACACUUUAGACGUGGAUCAAGAAUUAGCUUGUUUUAUGGGAGUGUUAGAGUAGUGACUCAUGGGCUAGAAAUGUACGUGAAUCCAACUUCAUAUGUCGAUGAAGGUCCACAAUUUGGAAAGGCAUAAUAGGCCCAAUUUUCAUAUUUGGGCUCAAACUUAAUAUCACCCAAUGAUCCAACGAUACAGCUCUAUUGUAUCAGAUCUCUAGGUUUUUGGGUCUAUAAAAUAAGAAAAUGGGUAAAUAACAUAUACAUACAUCUUAACUUAUCAUAUUUACACGAAAUUUCACCUUUCCAUAGUAAUUACAAAAAUUUCAACUUCUCUUUUUAUCUUUAAAAUACAUAAAUAACACUACCCCAAAAUCCUAAAUCCAAUUCGUCUUUUUCUUCCAUAUCAGCUGCCCCAAAUUCCAAAUCCAAUUCAAACACCCUUUUCCCCCUUUUCAAAAUAUUUGUUUUUAGUUUCUAAAGAUUUUUUAGCAAGAUUUCUUAAACGGAGGUUCGUAGGAAUCAAUACAAGGUUCUGUCAACACUAAGAAAGGUCGUUGUCGCCGUUGCAUAUUGUUUACCAUCGAUAUGGGACAAUUAAACUGUAAGUGGGUUAAGAGCACGCAUUAUGACCUAACUUUGAGUUAGUAGUAAAAGUUUGCAAAUUAACAAGUAAAUAAUAUUAUCCACAAAGAAAGUAAAGUUUGAGAACAAAUUUAGAACGACAACGCAUAACGUAAUUAAAUCGAGAUUCCUUAGUCACGAGCCGGUCUUGACCGGAGUUAAUAUUGUUGGAAUUAAGUAGCUACAUAGAUACAUACAAAUGUAUAUCUUUUGUUUUACACUGACUGGAGUAGAAUUUUGGACUUAGUCAAUAAUUUGGGCCAAUCCAUUAUUAUUCAAUAAGAAUGAUUAUUCUUUGUUCACAAAGAGGGUUAAUGGUUCUCUUACUUUUUUGGUUGUAUAAGUUGAUAAUAUCUUCCUUGCUGGGGAUGAUAUAUCUGACUUGGAUGAUUUAAAAUUAUUUCUGGACAUUCAAUUCAAGAUCAAAGAUCUUGGUUUAGUCCAUUAUUUUCUGGGCUUGGAGAUAUCCUCCUAUCCUCAAGGCUAUCUUAUGACUCGGCACAAGUUUACCUCUGAUUUAUUAGUUGAGUUUCGUUGUGAUCAAUUUUCACCUGUCUCUGCCCCACUGGAUACUUCCUUGAAACUUACUACUGACAUGGGUGCUCUUUUCACUGAUCCUUCCACUUUUCAUCGCUUUGUUGACAAGCUGAAUUUUCUUCAGCACACUCGAUCUGACAUUUCAAAUGUUGUUCAACAUUUGAGUAAGUUCUUAUAGGCUCCUGAAGUCCCACAUCUUGUGGCUGGCAUUCAUGUAUUUAGAUACUUACUCAAUGCUCCUGACCUUGGUUUGUUGUUUAAUAAUUCUAUGGAUUAUUCCUUAUUGGCUUAUUUUGAUUUUGAUUGGGCUGCGUGUGCGAAUUCACGCCGGUCAGUCACUGGAUUUUUCAUCACUUUGGGUGGCUCUCCUGUAUCAUGGAAAAGUAUGAAACAACCCACAAUCUUUCUUUCAUCUGUUGAGGCUGAGUAUCAUGCCUUAUGCAAAGUUGUGGUUAAAUUAUCAAGGUUGUUGCGUCUCUUAUAUGAUUUUGAUGUUGAUGUUUCGAACCAUGUUCCUGUAUAUUGUGACAGUCAAGAGCUCUUCAAAUAACUCGUAACCCUGAUUUUCAUGAACGCACCAAGCACAUCGAGACGGACUGCCACAUUAUUCGUGAUAGUGUUCACUGCGGCCUUGUCUCUCUUCAUUUCAUCGCUUCCGCAGACUAGUUGGCUGACAUUUUCACUUAGUCACUCCCAGGUCCAGCUCAUCAUGGCAUCCUCUGCAAGCUUGGUGUGCUUACACCCUCCAGCUUGAGGGAGGUGUUGGAAUUACGUGGCUAUAUAGAUACAUACAAAUGUAUAUCUUUUGUUUUACACUUACUGAUGUAUAAUUUUAGACUUAGUCAAUAAUUUGGGCCGGUCCAUUAUUAUGUCAUAUUGGGCCUUAUAUGUCUGUACACAUAUUGAUGACACGGUCCACUAUUACAAAGUUAAAUUGUAACACCCCGUAUUCAAGAACGUGUAUUGGCGUAUUCAAGUACGUGUAUUGGUCUUAUUUAUAUGGAAUUAAUUUUUUUUAUUUUAUUUAUACCGAAAUAUGUCCGUUGAUGGUUUUAUGCGAAGGUUAUUGAAUAAUUUUUUCAACGAUAUAAAGAUUUCCAAAAGUGGAUAGGUUUCGGAUAUAAUCGAGUACGUUCGAAACUAUAAAACGGUGGCCGAGAUAUUUGGGAAUAGUAAAUGUGCAGGAAAAUUUCCUGCACACAAAUUACUGAGGCCAGCCGAAUUUUUGGGUCAACUUUGAAUGAUCAUAAAUCCUUUAAUAUAAUGAACUGGGAGAGCUGCGACCUAUGAAAAGAAAGAUCUUUGAGUCUUCUUUCCAAUGCAAUUGGUUUCAUCCAANNNNNNNNNNNNNNNNNNNNNNNNNNNNNNNNNNNNNNNNNNNNNNNNNNNNNNNNNNNNNNNNNNNNNNNNNNNNNNNNNNNNNNNNNNNNNNNNNNNNNNNNNNNNNNNNNNNNNNNNNNNNNNNNNNNNNNNNNNNNNNNNNNNNNNNNNNNNNNNNNNNNNNNNNNNNNNNNNNNNNNNNNNNNNNNNNNNNNNNNNNNNNNCUUAUCAAAACAGUCCACCAAAGAACAGGUUUGACAUUAUUUAAGUUUUAAAGGCAUUUUGGUCAUUUCCUAUUAUAUUAUGGACGGGAAUAUGUGUAUAUAUACAUGUAUAUGAGUUCAAAAAUUCAUUUUCAUCAUCAAUCAUUGAGAAAGAACAAACCCUAGCCAAAUUUGACCUUUAAAUUACUUUUGAUUCAACUGUAGAAAUUCCAAAGUAAUUCGAUAACUGCGUUUGUCAUCUCGAGAGCUUCGAACGGCACCUAUUAUUUGUGCAAAUAGGAUUGCAUAAUCAAGAGGUGAAUUCUAAGGUAUGAAUAUUGUUUGUCUUUGUUCUCUUCCAUAUGUAUAUGUGUGAUAGAGGAUUAUAUGUAUUGGUUGUUAUUGAAAGGUGAUGAAAAUAGGGUUAUGGACUAUUUUGCAUGGUUUGGUUGUAUUGAAUUGUGGAAGGUGGAUAUGGUAAUUGAGUUAUGGAAGGUGGAUAUGGUGAUAUACUAUUGAAUUGAUGAUUAUUUAUGUCUAUGGCUCAAUUUGGUUUAAUGGAUUGGUUGGAAGGAUAAAUGAAUCCAAACUUGAUAUUGGAGGAUGUUGUAUGAAUAUGCAUGGCAUGUGAAUGUAAUUGGAGUAUAAGAGGGUUAAAGUGACACCCUUUAUGGUGUAAUUAAGGCUUACUACUUAACCACUAGUUUGGUGAAUUCAAAUAAUUGAAUUGUGACGUUUGGUUGCUAAUACUAGAUUGCUAUAUAUGUUCAUUGUAGAUAAGUAAUCCAAAAAGAUGAGAAGUCCAUUUGGGACUAGUAUUGAAGGUUGACAGUCAGGUAUGUAAAGCAUACUCUAUACCAUAUCUUUGUCAUGAAAGUGAACAAUUGUUCUAUUAAGAAAGUUUCCAAAGUUAUUCAGUAACAUGUGAUCCAUAAUGGUUUUGUAUGAUGUCCUACGUUACCAAUGAACUUGUUUCCACCCUACUAGAUGUCAAGAUAUUCCAAUACUUACCUGUUUUCCAAAUCUUACAUGUUUAUUACACUAAUGAAUGUCAGAAAGUAUUCGGUUACUCAAACAAGAUCCUUGUGCUAUUAAUGACUCCAAAACGUUUCACUGAUAUACCAAUAAGUUCCUACUUCAUUAUUAUGGCAUUGAUGACUCCAAAACACUUCAUUGAUGUGCCAAUGAGUUCUUACUUCAUUGUUAUUGCAUUGAUAGUCUAUUUAUAUGUCUCUUAUUAAUGUAUCAUUGUUUCAAAGUAUAAAAAAUGCGGUGGCGACCGAAAUAACAAUCUCAAAGAUUAAUUGAACNNNNNNNNNNNNNNNNNNNNNNNNNNNNNNNNNNNNNNNNNNNNNNNNNNNNNNNNNNNNNNNNNNNNNNNNNNNNNNNNNNNNNNNNNNNNNNNNNNNNNNNNNNNNNNNNNNNNNNNNNNNNNNNNNNNNNNNNNNNNNNNNNNNNNNNNNNNNNNNNNNNNNNNNNNNNNNNNNNNNNNNNNNNNNNNNNNNNNNNNNNNNNNNNNNNNNNNNNNNNNNNNNNNNNNNNNNNNNNNNNNNNNNNNNNNNNNNNNNNNNNNNNNNNNNNNNNNNNNNNNNNNNNNNNNNNNNNNNNNNNNNNNNNNNNNNNNNNNNNNNNNNNNNNNNNNNNNNNNNNNNNNNNNNNNNNNNNNNNNNNNNNNNNNNNNNNNNNNNNNNNNNNNNNNNNNNNNNNNNNNNNNNNNNNNNNNNNNNNNNNNNNNNNNNNNNNNNNNNNNNNNNNNNNNNNNNNNNNNNNNNNNNNNNNNNNNNNNNNNNNNNNNNNNNNNNNNNNNNNNNNNNNNNNNNNNNNUGUCAUAUCCAGUCACUUUUGGUAUUGUAUAAAAGUUAGUUAUAUGGCGGGGUGUGUCCCGACCUUAGUUAAACUCUGUGUAUUGUCUAGAGGCUUUGUCGACCUAAUGUAUAGUCAAGGUGGUGUUUUGUUAAUAGACGUGAUGGCUCCAAUGACCAAGUAUUGUAUAUACAUAUAUAUGUGUGCUCGAGCUUAUACAGAUGAUUAUUUCCUUUUAUAUGCGACAUGAUGCUGUCCGAAUUUCGGGUUGUCAUAGAGGUAUGCAUGAGAAGUAUAAGGUUAUGAGUUGGUUCUCCCGGGUCUCCUCGGUUACGGGUGCCAGUCCGCCCCAAUAGAAUUUGAGGCGUGACAUAAAUAUUAGUGGAUCUGGUUUUAGAUUUCGAUGGAUUAAAAAAAAUUCACUCUUUCUCUUCUUUCUUAUCCUCUCAAAUCAGAUUUGGGUUUGUCACUUUUGAUCCAUCAAAUUCAGCUCAAGUUCGAGAUUAACAAAUAUUAACUUAAACAGUGAGCUAAAUAAGCAAAGACAAAAAAAGAAACCAGAGGUAAAGAUAAAAGAAAUUUCAUUGCUUAUAGAUAGAGACACCAAAAUCAGAGUGUGAAUUUAUAAAGUACAAGGACUAUUUUCGACCAAUAAUUGAGUAUAAAAAAAACACCACCGUUACCAAUGACAAAAGCCCACUUGCCGACACAUCGUUGGGGAAUGCCAACCUAAUAUUGUCUGGCUGGCACGAACCCACGGAGGAUCAUUCAUGUACCUGAGAGCUCUGACACAUUGGUCCCCUGUCUGUUUUUUCGUGCGUGGUCGUUGUUGCUAGUAGGCCUGUGCCAUUUCUAUCUAGCCCGAGAGGACAUUCUUAAACUUUGAUAUUAUUCUCGGGAUAACAUCAUCAUAGAACAACUCCAGUUCUACUUGACCCGAGAUGGCCUAUAUGGUCCCGUUUGGAUUGGCUUAUUUAUGUGUUUUUAAGUUAAAAUUGAUUUUUAAGUACUUUUAAAGUGUUUGGGUAAAUUUAAAAAGUGCUUAUAAGCACUUAAUUUUAAGCUAAAAUACUAAAAAUAAGCCAAAAGCUAUAAGUUUGAAUUUUUAGCUUAUGACUUAUAAGUCAAAGAUAAAAUUUUUAACUCAAAAUGCCAUAGAUAAUUUCUAACAUAACCCACAAUGCCAUAUAUAAUUUAAUACAAAAUUAAAUUUCAAAAAUUAACUACAAAAAUAAAAUGUGGUUGAAGAAGAAAAUGGAGCAAAAUGGGAAAUGUGGAAGAGAAAAGAAAAUAAUAAAGUUAAAUAAUUAAUUUUUUAGAGUAAAAAAGAAAAAAAAAACAACGUGGCAGCGAGUACAGCUUACUGCCUGAAACAAUGUCUGGGCAUGAACUUUUAGGGGUGUAAAUAUUCUACUUUAAAAUAGUUCAGGAGGUCAUAAGACCCCCGCAAAGUAUUGGUGCGUAGUUGAGAUUUGGGGUAAAGAUUGGGAGAGCUUUUGACCAUUUUCUUUUAAGUAAAAAGUCAAAAGUCAAUCCAAACAAGCAUUAUACUUGCUAAAACUUUGUUGUCCCACACACACAUGUAGAAUUUAUAAACUUAUUACAAUAUUUAUUUUUCAAAGAAUUAUAAGAUCGCAAAGUGACUAGUAAACAUUAUUUUAUGAAAAGAAAAUCUUAUUUUUCUUUGGAUGCUUAUUGAUUAUUGGAGGAUUCAAUCAUUUUCUGUGUGUUAGACAAAUAAAUAACUUACGGACUGUAGUAAUUCUUCAGCGCAAAACAUGGUCUACGGUAUUCAUGAUAGCAAAGAAUAAUUUCACCCCUUUAGUAUCCAAGGUAUGAUUAUCCCAAAAUAAUAAAAUGGAUUCCUUUAAACAUUGUAAUUAUACUGUUAAGCCAACAAAUAAGUGGCACUUAAAUUUAAUUAUAAUGAGAUUUGUCCAAAGGUGAUAAUUAUGUUUUGUGGAUGUGGAAAAAUGAGCAGGGUGAACGUUGUAGAAAAGACCCCACAUUUCAAUUAUUUCUCCCCCCCAACCCCCACCCCCAUCAAUUCACCCACAAUUAUUGCACGGCCUAAUCAUUUUAUUUUCGUCCCUUCUUUUUUUUUUUGGUAAUCUAUUUAUCUUUGAUAAUUUGAACGGUAAAAAUUUGGCCAACUUUUGAAACGGCUAAAGUAUUUGAACGCAUUGAAUAUUGUUUUUCUUUUUCUCAUUGAAUAUCGUCCUGUUGAGCUGUUAUAGGCAAACUAAAUAACUAAGCUAUAGUUUUAUGUAAGUUGUUUAAUUGUUCAACAAUAUGUUAAACAUAUUCAUUUAUUACUAUUAACGAAGUUAGUCAGCAUGCCCGAAAAUUUAUGUAAUAGUAAUAAGAUUUCUAAAUAAAAUUUUAAGUUUAAUAAUUUACGAAUUUAGAAGAUUAUAGAAUUGAAUCCCAUUCAUCUUUUGUGAAACUUUACAUGUGACUAUUGAUGCAAACUCCACAAUGCAUAAUUGUUCAUCUGGGAAUUCUGAUACAUUUACACAGCUUUGAUGUUGAUGGGACUUCAAUUUUUUUUCCCCAACGUUUAUAAGAAUCUUAUUUCAAAAUUCAAAUAUGAAAUUUCUUACUACUAAAUAAGUACUAUGUUACACUUGUUAACCCCGAUCAAACCUUAUAAACAUCAGUAAGGGUGUGUUUGGUGUAAAGGAUUUUUUUUGAAUAAAAUAUCUUUGUUGGAUUACAACCAUUUUGGUUUUCUAAAUAAGAAAAAAAAAAUCAGUUCAAGAAUAUGUAUAUGAAAUCUAGGAGAACACAGUGGGGAUGGGAGUAGGGGUAGGAAUGUGAGGAUGGUGGGAUUGCAUGUUUGGAGAAUGAGUAACGAAAUGCAACUUAUGGAUUCAUUUUCCCUACUUAAUUAUAAUAGGAAUUUAUUUUUCUAAUAAUUAAAGAAACUUGUUUUUUCCACCACCAAGGCGCUCUUGUUUUUUCCCAUUUUCUCUACAUUAUUAUUCUCCCUUUGCUUAAAACGUUUCACAAAAUGGCCAAAGCUAAACAUUAUUUAACCAAUCUGAAUUAGUGUAUGUUAAUCUCAAAUACAGCUUGACGGAUAUUUUUAUUGUACGUCCUAUGAACCCCAUAUUGCCGUAAUCAGCAGUCCAAAGAUUUCCAAAAUACAUUGGUUGGAUGAACUGAAGUCAAUAAUGUAUAUUUCUAUUACUUCGAGCAAAAGCCAUAACUGAAAACGUAACAUAAGCUGAAUUUUGAAGCUCCUUGUUGACUCCUGAAUUCAAUUACUCGUACACUUUUUUUUUUUACAAAAUUUCCUAAGAUAUCAUAAUUUAGAGAUGUAUUAUUAAGAGUGAAAGAACUUUCAAAAAUCUUACAAUACUUAUACAGAAUAGUAAUUCAUCAAUAAUAAAAAGGUGUUGAAUCUGAUCGACCAUGGUAAAGGUAUGGCACCAUAUGGAUCUUUGUCCCAAGAGCUGAGAAAAAUGUUCACAACCUGGGAUAUUGGAAGAGGCGGAUCCAAGAUUCGAAAGCUUCGGGUGUCACCUUAUUUUGAACAAUAACGUAUACUUCGUACAUAUUUUAAGAUAGUAAAAUCAAAAUUCAAAGAGAAAACUAUAAUUAUAUAUAUCUUACAAGUGUUAGUGUUAGUAUUGCUUGCCCAGUUGGUAUUGUCAAUUGUUUUGAUAUUGUGGGUGCCAGGGAUAAUAUUUAUACGCCACUAGUUUCCUUUGAUACAGUGUUUCAUCCGAGAAGUACGGGUGCCGUGCCACCCCAUACCUUCUACAUGGAUCCGCCCUGAAUGUUGGUCAUGCAAAAGGUUGCGCAGCUUUCAAGACUAGUAGUAUUUCUCACUCUAACCUUCGAUUUUCAUUCCAAUAGAUUCGUUUUCUUUAUUUUUUGUAGCAAAAUCUGGUGACAUGUUUCUAGGAACGCUCGAGGAUAAUGUUAAUAAAAGCAUUAAACAUCCCAUUCUACCAGCAUUAAAAGUCGCAUGAUGCCAGGUCAGCCCCAAAUACUUCUAAUAUUAUUUGUCCAUUUAUUAAUUGUAUCAUAAACCAACCAAACAUAAUCAAAGCAAGCACCCUAGAAUACUACUAAAUCAUUAUUAGAAUUCGCAAAAACAAGAAAAAGUAACAAUAAAACAAGAAAUAAAAAAAAGUCUCAAACACACUUCCCACUUCCCAAACAAUCUAGUACUCACUUCCCACCCAUGUAGUACACAACAAUCUCACAAUGACCACUCAAUAUCUCAGUACUAGUGCUUGCAGGGCAGAUUCUUUGAAGGUUCAAAAGCAAAUGGGCCCACAUCAAAGAGCUUAACACCAGGUUCAGAAUUAUUCACAGGCUUUGAUGAUGCCAUGGGAGAUGGGGGUGCAGGGACCAAUAUGGCUCCACUCUGUCCAUUGUGGAAGUCUGUUGGGACACUGCAUUCUGCUUUUGAUGAUUUAGCUAAGAAGACCUUGCACUUGUGGUAACCUGCAGUGGUCAACCACUUCGGUUGAAUAUAAAAGUACCCAUUCUUGUCUGUUGUGCCUAGACUUGUUAGAUGGAACUUUGUGUUGUUGCAUGCCAGCUUCACCACCGCGCCUGUACCAUAAAAUUAACACAAGCCAUUAGUCCAUUACAUUGUGGUAAAUUUAAAUCGAUGUCUGUUGAACUCUUUUAACUAUGCCAUACAUUUUAUUUUGUGACAACAAGAAAGGAUAGACUCGUGAAAUAACAACGGCCUUAAGAGUUAUUUUGUUACAAACAUACAAUAAAGAGUCACACCAAAAUGUAGUUUAAAGAAGAGCUCACCUUGAAUAGGAGAAGCUCCCAAGAGGGUGUCAACUCCCCUAUACUUGCAAGAUUUGCAGUAAACCACUCCCCUUACGCCUACAAACAUCCUCAUCGGAGGUGGAGUUGGUGGUUUAACUGGCGGAUAUGGUUUUACUGGAGGCUUAACUGGCGGAGAUGGUUUUACUGGUGGCUUAACUGGCGGAGAUGGUUUUACUGGUGGCUUAACUGGCGGAGAUGGUGGUUUACUAGGAGAAUGUGCUGGUGGAGUUGGCGGUUUAACUGGUGGAGAUGGUUUUACUGGUGGUUUAACUGGCGGAGAUGGUGGUUUGCUAGGAGAAUGUGCUGGUGGAGUUGGCGGUUUAACUGGUGGUUUAACUGGCGGAGAUGGAGGUUUACUAGGAGAAUGUGCAGGUGGAUACGGUGGUUUAACUGGUGGAGAUGGUGGUGGUGAAGAGUGAGAAGGAGGAGGAGCAGGGGCUGGAGAGUGCUUGUGGUGGUGGUGGUGGUGGUGGUGGCCACCUUUAUGAGGCUUAGGGGCUUCAACAGGUGGGGAGCUAACAGAGGAAUGAGGAGCUAGUUCUGAAGUCACAAUGCCAUCAACAUUUUGGCCAAGAACUGUGAAUGAAGUAACUAGUAGUAAAGCUACAAUAAACCCAAUGGACUUUGUUGGAACAAACCCCAUUUUGUUCGACAAA
RNAcentral lists this long non-coding RNA (22482 nucleotides) under Capsicum annuum. RNAcentral's name for it is "long non-coding RNA (CANN_LNC003461)". The record is from RNAcentral. Lineage: Eukaryota; Viridiplantae; Streptophyta; Magnoliopsida; Solanales; Solanaceae.